This 497-nucleotide ribosomal RNA is filed under the name uncultured bacterium. RNAcentral describes it as "partial 16S ribosomal RNA". It matches the Rfam family "Bacterial small subunit ribosomal RNA", at positions 28 to 507 of the family's 1533-position model. The record is from RNAcentral.
GAUGAACGCUGGCGGCGUGCCUAAUACAUGCAAGUCGAGCGAACAGACGAGGAGCUUGCUCCUCUGACGUUAGCGGCGGACGGGUGAGUAACACGUGGAUAACCUACCUAUAAGACUUGGAUAACUUCGGGAAACCGGAGCUAAUACCGGAUAAUAUAUUGAACCGCAUGGUUCAAUAGUGAAAGACGGUUUUGCUGUCACUUAUAGAUGGAUCCGCGCCGCAUUAGCUAGUUGGUAAGGUAACGGCUUACCAAGGCAACGAUGCGUAGCCGACCUGAGAGGGUGAUCGGCCACACUGGAACUGAGACACGGUCCAGACUCCUAAGGGAGGCAGCAGUAGGGAAUCUUCCGCAAUGGGCGAAAGCCUGACGGAGCAACGCCGCGUGAGUGAUGAAGGUCUUCGGAUCGUAAAACUCUGUUAUUAGGGAAGAACAAAUGUGUAAAUAACUAUGCACGUCUUGACGGUACCUAAUCAGAAAGCCACGGCUAACUACGUG